AACAUUUCUUUUUGUUUAAAAUUUAAAAAGUACGGCCUGCCCACUGAUUAAUUUGAAGGGCCGCGGUAUUAUGACCGUGCUAAGGUAGCAUAAUCAUUAGUUUCUUAAUUAGAAAAUGGAAUGAAUGGCUUAACCUAAAAGUUUUUUUUUUCUUCGGUUAAAAAUUUGAAUUUUAAUCAUAAGUGAAAAUGCUUAUAUUUUUCUAAAAGACGAUAAGACCCUAUAGAGCUAUAGCUAUUAAUUUCAAAAAACAUUUUGGGGGGGAAAAUGUUUUUUGAAAUUAAUAGCUUGGUUGGGGCAACCAAAGAAUAAAAAAAACUUCUAAAAUUAGGGACUUGAACUUUAAAAUUAAAAAGUUACCUUAGGGAUAACAGCGUAAUAAUUUUUGAGAGUUCUAAUCGACAAAAUUGUUUGCGACCUCGAUGUUGAAUUAAAAAAUCUUUUGAAAGCAGAAUUUUAAAAAGAUAGUCUGUUCGACUAAUAAUAUUUUACAUGAUUUGAUU
This 503-nucleotide ribosomal RNA is filed under the name Tomocerus nigrus. RNAcentral's name for it is "partial 16S ribosomal RNA". It matches the Rfam family "Bacterial large subunit ribosomal RNA", at positions 1812 to 2610 of the family's 2925-position model. Lineage: Eukaryota; Metazoa; Arthropoda; Collembola; Entomobryomorpha; Tomoceridae. The record is from RNAcentral.